RNAcentral lists this ribosomal RNA (531 nucleotides) under uncultured bacterium. Its description in RNAcentral is "bacterial SSU rRNA". It matches the Rfam family "Bacterial small subunit ribosomal RNA", at positions 9 to 526 of the family's 1533-position model. The record is from RNAcentral.
GAGUUUGAUCCUGGCUCAGGACGAACGCUGGCGGCGCGCCUAACACAUGCAAGUCGAACGGAGCUGAGAGGAGCUUGCUUUUCUUAGCUUAGUGGCGAACGGGUGAGUAACGCGUGAGUAACCUGCCCUGGAGUGGGGGACAACAGUUGGAAACGGCUGCUAAUACCGCAUAAGCCCACGAUCCGGCAUCGGAUUGAGGGAAAAGGAUUUAUUCGCUUCAGGAUGGACUCGCGUCCAAUUAGCUAGUUGGUGAGGUAACGGCCCACCAAGGCGACGAUCCAUAGCCGGCCUGAGAGGGUGAACGGCCACAUUGGGACUGAGACACGGCCCAGACUCCUACGGGAGGCAGCAGUGGGGAAUAUUGCACAAUGGGGGAAACCCUGACCGAGCAACGCCGCGUGAAGGAAGAAGUAAUUCGUUAUGUAAACUUCUGUCAUAGAGGAAGAAUGGUGGAUAUAGGGAAUGAUAUCCAAGUGACGGUACUCUAUAAGAAAGCCACGGCUAACUACGUGCCAGCCGCCGCGGUAAUAC